RNAcentral lists this ribosomal RNA (916 nucleotides) under uncultured archaeon. Its description in RNAcentral is "SSU rRNA". It matches the Rfam family "Archaeal small subunit ribosomal RNA", at positions 1 to 922 of the family's 1478-position model. The record is from RNAcentral.
UUUCCGGUUGAUCCUGCCGGACCUGACUGCUAUCGGAUUGAUACUAAGCCAUGCGAGUCUUUGUAGUAAUACAAGGCAGACGGCUCAGUAACACGUAGUCAACCUACCCUAUGGACAAGAAUAAUCUCGGGAAACUGGGCAUAAUUCUUGAUAGAUCAUAAUGCCUGGAAUGGUUUAUGGUUAAAAUGAUUCGUCGCCAUAGGAUGGGACUGCGGCCUAUCAGCUUGUUGGUGAGGUAAUGGCCCACCAAGGCGAUUACAGGUACGGGCUCUGAGAGGAGAAGCCCGGAGAUGGGUACUGAGACACGGACCCAGGCCCUAUGGGGCGCAGCAGGCGAGAAAACUUUGCAAUGUGCGAAAGCACGACAAGGUUAAUCCGAGUGAUUUCUGCUAAAGAAAUCUUUUGCCAGUCAUAAAACCACUGGUGAAUAAGGGGUGGGCAAGUUCUGGUGUCAGCCGCCGCGGUAAAACCAGCACCUCAAGUGGUCAGGAUGAUUAUUGGGCCUAAAGCAUCCGUAGCCGGCUUUGUAAGUUUUCGGUUAAAUCCAUGUGCUCAACGCAUGGGCUGCCGAAAAUACUGCAUGGCUAGGGAGUGGGAGAGGUAGACGGUACUCAGUAGGAAGGGGUAAAAUCCUUUGAUCUAUUGAUGACCACCUGUGGCGAAGGCGGUCUACCAGAACACGUUCGACGGUGAGGGAUGAAAGCUGGGGGAGCAAACCGGAUUAGAUACCCGGGUAGUCCCAGCUGUAAACGAUGCAGACUCGAUGAUGCAUUGGCAUAAUAGCCAGUGCAGUGUCGCAGGGAAGCCGUUAAGUCUGCCGCCUGGGAAGUACGUACGCAAGUAUGAAACUUAAAGGAAUUGGCGGGGGAGCACCACAAGGGGUGAAGCCUGCGGUUCAAUUGGAGUCAACGCCGGG